Molecule: ribosomal RNA, 207 nt
Filed under: uncultured bacterium
Lineage: Bacteria
Description: partial 16S ribosomal RNA
Rfam family: Bacterial small subunit ribosomal RNA
Source: RNAcentral
CAUGUAGGCGGUCUGUUAAGUCUGGUGUGAAAGCCCGGGGCUCAACCCCGGAAGCGCAUUGGAUACUGGCAGACUUGAGUAUGGGAGAGGAAAGUGGAAUUCCGAGUGUAGGAGUGAAAUCCGUAGAUAUUCGGAGGAACACCAGUGGCGAAGGCGGCUUUCUGGACCAAUACUGACGCUGAGAUGCGAAAGCGUGGGGAGCAAACA